Molecule: ribosomal RNA, 439 nt
Filed under: uncultured bacterium
Lineage: Bacteria
Description: partial 16S ribosomal RNA
Rfam family: Bacterial small subunit ribosomal RNA
Source: RNAcentral
CCUCGGGGGGCUGCAGUGAGGAAUAUUGCACAAUGGGGGGAACCCUGAUGCAGCAACGCCGCGUGGAGGAUGACGCAUUUCGGUGUGUAAACUCCUUUUAUAUGUCAAGAAAAUGACGGUAGCAUAUGAAUAAGCACCGGCUAACUCCGUGCCAGCAGCCGCGGUAAUACGGAGGGUGCAAGCGUUACUCGGAAUCACUGGGCGUAAAGGACGCGUAGGAGGGUUGGAAAGUCAGGUGUGAAAUCCUACAGCUUAACUGUAGAACUGCACUUGAAACUUCUAAUCUAGAGUAUGGGAGGGGGAGAUAGAAUUAGUAGUGUAGGGGUAAAAUCCGUAGAUAUCACUAGGAAUACCUAAAGCGAAGGCGAUCUCCUGGAACAUUACUGACGCUAAGGCGUGAAAGCGUGGGGAGCAAACAGGAUUAGAUACCCGAGUAGUC